Bos taurus (domestic cattle) is the source of this 684-nucleotide long non-coding RNA. Lineage: Eukaryota; Metazoa; Chordata; Mammalia; Artiodactyla; Bovidae. The record is from Ensembl.
GCUCAGUGGUUUCCAAUCACUGAGAAUCACAUUAGGGUCUUAAGCACAUUAGGAUGACCUGUGAAGCUUUGAAAACUAGAGUGAAGCCAGAAUGGCUACACCCAGGAGCACAAAGGGUGAAGGGAACCCUCGUGAUGGCUUUGAAGACCAGAGGAGGCAGCGACUGCUGAGAGGAGAGCUAGUAAGGUUGGAAAUGGCAAUAAGGAAGACCCUCUUCCAGCACUAAGAAGCCGCAGCUGAUGAUCUGGCGGUGGUGGGGACACAGUGGACACAUCAAUUGCAUGUGCUAUAAUAAGUUUAGGACUAUGUAACAUGUGAAGAAAGCUGAGCGCUGAAGACUUGAUGCUUUUGAACUGUGGUAUUGGAGAAGACUCUUGAGAGUCCCUUGGACUACAAGGAGAUCCAACCAGUCCAUUCUGAAGGAGAUCAGCCCUGGGUGUUCUUUGGAAGGAAUGAUGCAAAAGCUGAAACUCCAGUACUUUGGCCACCUCAUGCGAAGAGUUGACUCAUUGGAAAAGACUCUGAUGCUGGGAGGGAUUGGGGGCAGGAGGAGAAGGGGACGACAGAGGAUGAGAUGGCUGGAUGGCAUGACUGGAUGGACAGGAGUUUGAGUGAACUCCAGGAGUUGGUAAUGGACAGGGAGGCCUGGCGUGCUGCAAUUCAUGGGGUCGCAAAGAGUCAGAC